GACGAACGCUGGCGGCGUGCUUAACACAUGCAAGUCGAACGCUGAAGACCUGGCUUUUGUUGGGUUGGAUGAGUGGCGAACGGGUGAGUAACACGUGAGUAACCUGCCCUCUUCUUUGGGAUAACGCCCGGAAACGGGUGCUAAUACUGGAUAUUCACUGGCCUUCGCAUGGGGGUUGGUGGAAAGGUUUGUUCUGGUGGGGGAUGGGCUCGCGGCCUAUCAGCUUGUUGGUGGGGUGAUGGCCUACCAAGGCUUUGACGGGUAGCCGGCCUGAGAGGGUGACCGGUCACAUUGGGACGGAGAUACGGCCCAGACUCCUACGGGAGGCAGCAGUGGGGAAUAUUGCACAAUGGGCGAAAGCCUGAUGCAGCGACGCCGCGUGAGGGAUGGAGGCCUUCGGGUUGUAAACCUCUUUCGCUCAUGGUCAAGCCGCAACUGUGGGUUGUGGUGAGGGGAGUGGGUAAAGAAGCGCCGGCUAACUACGU
This 485-nucleotide ribosomal RNA is filed under the name uncultured bacterium. RNAcentral describes it as "partial 16S ribosomal RNA". It matches the Rfam family "Bacterial small subunit ribosomal RNA", at positions 28 to 506 of the family's 1533-position model. The record is from RNAcentral.